Molecule: unclassified non-coding RNA, 329 nt
Filed under: soil metagenome
Description: partial contains 5.8S ribosomal RNA, internal transcribed spacer 2, and large subunit ribosomal RNA
Rfam family: 5.8S ribosomal RNA (bases 1-120)
Source: RNAcentral
GAUGAAGAACGUAGCGAAAUGCGAUACGUAAUGUGAAUUGCAGAAUUCAGUGAAUCAUCGAGUCUUUGAACGCACAUUGCGCCCCCUGGUAUUCCGGGGGGCAUGCCUGUCCGAGCGUCAUUACAACCCUCAAGCUCAGCUUGGUAUUGGGCCCCGCCGCUCCGGCGGGCCCUAAAGUCAGUGGCGGUGCCGUCCGGCUCCGAGCGUAGUAAUUCUUCUCGCUCUGGAGGUCCGGUCGUGUGCUCGCCAGCAACCCCCAAUUUUUUUCAGGUUGACCUCGGAUCAGGUAGGGAUACCCGCUGAACUUAAGCAUAUCAAUAAGCGGAGGA